GAACAACAUUGACAACUUCACCAACAAAUCGCACCGAUUGGUCCGAGCCGUGCCAGUAGGCCACUGAGGGUCCCGUGUGAGGAUCCUCCUAUCGAUGAAGAUCGCAACCUCCUCAGAGGUCACUACAGUGGUUGGGUGGCUAUCCUUCUCAGGAGUGCAUAUCCUCCGGUCAUCCUCCGAGAGAAGUCUGAAAAGAUGUAACCACCUGCC
Molecule: long non-coding RNA, 210 nt
Filed under: Elaeis guineensis (African oil palm)
Lineage: Eukaryota; Viridiplantae; Streptophyta; Magnoliopsida; Arecales; Arecaceae
Description: long non-coding RNA (EGUI_LNC019711)
Source: RNAcentral